GACGAACGCUGGCGGCGUGCUUAACACAUGCAAGUCGAACGGAAAGGCCCUGCUUUUGUGGGGUGCUCGAGUGGCGAACGGGUGAGUAACACGUGAGUAACCUGCCCUUGACUUUGGGAUAACUUCAGGAAACUGGGGCUAAUACCGGAUAGGAGCUCCUGCUGCAUGGUGGGGGUUGGAAAGUUUCGGCGGUUGGGGAUGGACUCGCGGCUUAUCAGCUUGUUUGUGGGGUAGUGGCUUACCAAGGCUUUGACGGGUAGCCGGCCUGAGAGGGUGACCGGCCACAUUGGGACUGAGAUACGGCCCAGACUGCUACGGGAGGCAGCAGUGGGGAAUAUUGCACAAUGGGCGGAAGCCUGAUGCAGAAAAGCGGCGUGCGGGAUGACGGCCUUCGGGUUGUAAACAGAUUUCGACUGUGACGAAGAGUGAGUGACGGUAAUGGGUAAAGAAGCACCGGCUAACUACGUG
This 468-nucleotide ribosomal RNA is filed under the name uncultured bacterium. RNAcentral's name for it is "partial 16S ribosomal RNA". It matches the Rfam family "Bacterial small subunit ribosomal RNA", at positions 28 to 507 of the family's 1533-position model. The record is from RNAcentral.